Molecule: unclassified non-coding RNA, 219 nt
Filed under: fungal sp.
Lineage: Eukaryota; Fungi
Description: partial internal transcribed spacer region
Rfam family: Eukaryotic small subunit ribosomal RNA (bases 1-46)
Source: RNAcentral
AAGUCGUAACAAGGUUUCCGUAGGUGAACCUGCGGAAGGAUCAUUACCAAAUCCAAAUCUCAACCCCAUGUGAACUGUUGACUGUCUGUCUUUGGGGGAGCUUUUGAAGUAAUUCUUUUGCUCCCCCAUGUUUUAUGAAACUACUUUUGAUUAUGUUGGAAUAAUAACUUUAUUAAAUAAUAAAGUGACAACUUUUAACGGUGGAUCUCUUGGCUCGUG